UGAGGAAUAUUGGUCAAUGGCCGAGAGGCUGAACCAGCCAAGUCGCGUGAGGGAUGACGGCCCUACGGGUUGUAAACCUCUUUUGUCGGGGAGCAAAGAGAGUCACGUGUGGCUCAUUGAGAGUACCCGAAGAAAAAGCAUCGGCUAACUCCGUGCCAGCAGCCGCGGUAAUACGGAGGAUGCGAGCGUUAUCCGGAUUUAUUGGGUUUAAAGGGUGCGCAGGCGGAGGUGCAAGUCAGUGGUCAAAUUGCGGGGCUCAACCCCGUACUGCCGUUGAAACUGCAUCCCUUGAGUGCGCGAGAAGUAUGCGGAAUGCGUGGUGUAGCGGUGAAAUGCAUAGAUAUCACGCAGAACUCCGAUUGCGAAGGCAGCAUACCGGCGCGCAACUGACGCUCAUGCACGAAAGCGUGGGUAUCGAACAGG
RNAcentral lists this ribosomal RNA (423 nucleotides) under uncultured bacterium. Its description in RNAcentral is "bacterial SSU rRNA". It matches the Rfam family "Bacterial small subunit ribosomal RNA", at positions 355 to 776 of the family's 1533-position model. RNAcentral also lists the same sequence under 1 other name. The record is from RNAcentral.